This 67-nucleotide small RNA is filed under the name Cytobacillus oceanisediminis. Its description in RNAcentral is "Bacillus oceanisediminis Bacillaceae-1 RNA". It matches the Rfam family "Bacillaceae-1 RNA". The record is from RNAcentral. Lineage: Bacteria; Bacillati; Bacillota; Bacilli; Caryophanales; Bacillaceae.
UAGGAAGGAAUGCAGACUAAGACCGCCACGUCCUGUGGCAACGUCUGCAUAACCCGCUUCCUGCGGG